AACGAACGCUGGCGGCAGGCUUAACACAUGCAAGUCGAGCGAGACCUUCGGGUCUAGCGGCGGACGGGUGAGUAACGCGUGGGAACGUGCCCUUCUCUACGGAAUAGCCCCGGGAAACUGGGAGUAAUACCGUAUACGCCCUUUGGGGGAAAGAUUUAUCGGAGAAGGAUCGGCCCGCGUUGGAUUAGGUAGUUGGUGGGGUAAUGGCCCACCAAGCCGACGAUCCAUAGCUGGUUUGAGAGGAUGAUCAGCCACACUGGGACUGAGACACGGCCCAGACUCCUACGGGAGGCAGCAGUGGGGAAUCUUAGACCAUGGGGGUAACCCUGAUCUAGCCAUGCCGCGUGAGUGAUGAAGGCCUUAGGGUUGUAAAGCUCUUUCAGCUGGGAAGAUAAUGACGGUACCAGCAGAAGAAGCCCCGGCUAACUCCGUG
This 433-nucleotide ribosomal RNA is filed under the name uncultured bacterium. RNAcentral describes it as "partial 16S ribosomal RNA". It matches the Rfam family "Bacterial small subunit ribosomal RNA", at positions 29 to 507 of the family's 1533-position model. The record is from RNAcentral.